Molecule: non-coding RNA, 45 nt
Organism: Schistosoma rodhaini
Lineage: Eukaryota; Metazoa; Platyhelminthes; Trematoda; Strigeidida; Schistosomatidae
Source: Rfam
AUCCAGCUGAGGAUUCCCAAAUUGGACGAAACGCGUGUAGUGGAU